RNAcentral lists this ribosomal RNA (255 nucleotides) under uncultured bacterium. RNAcentral's name for it is "partial 16S ribosomal RNA". It matches the Rfam family "Bacterial small subunit ribosomal RNA", at positions 796 to 1041 of the family's 1533-position model. The record is from RNAcentral.
UAUGCCCUGACCGAUGAAUGUUAACUGUUGAAUUUAUUUUUAAUUUUGGUAGUAAAGCUAACGCGUUAAACAUUCCGCCUGAGAACUACGGCCGCAAGGUUGAAACUCAAAGAAAUUGGCGGAGGGCUAAAACAACGGUGGAGCAUGUUGUUUAAUUUGAUAUAACACAAGAAAUCUUACCAACUCUUGAAUACAUAGUACGAAGACUUAAUGGUCUUUUAGUUAUUUAUAUAAUAGCUUGCUAUGUACAGGCGU